Molecule: ribosomal RNA, 699 nt
Filed under: uncultured bacterium
Lineage: Bacteria
Description: bacterial SSU rRNA
Rfam family: Bacterial small subunit ribosomal RNA
Source: RNAcentral
GGGUCACCGGCGAACGGGUGCGUAACACGUGAACAACCUGCCCGAGCGAGGGGGAUAGCCGGCCCAACGGCCGGGUAAUACCGCAUAUGCUCACAGUGCCUUAUGGCGCAGUGAGGAAACCUUCGGGGCGCUCGGAGGGGUUCGCGACCUAUCAGCUAGUUGGUGGGGUAACGGCCUACCAAGGCGGCGACGGGUAGCUGGUCUGAGAGGAUGGCCAGCCACAUUGGGACUGCGACACGGCCCAGACUCCUACGGGAGGCAGCAGUGGGGAAUAUUGCGCAAUGGUCGAAAGACUGACGCAGCGACGCCGCGUGGAGGAUGACGCCCUUCGGGGUGUAAACUCCUGUUGCUCGGGACGAACCGUGGGAUUCAUCCCACCUGACGGUACCGAGUGAGGAAGCACCGGCUAACUCUGUGCCAGCAGCCGCGGUAAUACAGAGGGUGCGAGCGUUGUCCGGAAUCACUGGGCGUAAAGGGCGCGUAGGCGGCUUGACAAGCGUGCGGUGAAAGCUCGGGGCUCAACCCCGAGUCGGCCGUGCGAACUGUCGAGCUUGAGCACAGUAGAGGCAGAUGGAAUUCCGGGUGUAGCGGUGGAAAGGCGUAGAAUCCCGGAAAGAAACACCGGUGGCAAGGCGGUCUGCUGGGCUGUGUCUGACGCUGAGGCGCGACAGCGUGGGGAGCAAACAGGAUUAGAUACCC